This 874-nucleotide ribosomal RNA is filed under the name uncultured bacterium. RNAcentral describes it as "bacterial SSU rRNA". It matches the Rfam family "Bacterial small subunit ribosomal RNA", at positions 8 to 916 of the family's 1533-position model. The record is from RNAcentral.
AGAGUUUGAUCAUGGCUCAGGAUGAACGCUGGCGGCGUGCCUAAUACAUGCAAGUCGAGCGGUAAGGCCCCUUCGGGGGUACACGAGCGGCGGACGGCUGAGUAACGCGUAGGAACAUACCCCGAAGUGAGGGAUAAGCACCAGAAAUGGUGUCUAAUACCGCAUGUGAUCCAAGGAUUAAAGCUUCGGCGCUUCGGGAAUGGCCUGCGUAAGAUUAGCUUGUUGGUGAGGUAAUGGCUCACCAAGGCGACGAUCUUUAGCUGGUCUGAGAGGAUGACCAGCCAGACUGGGACUGAGAACGGCCCAGACUCCUACGGGAGGCAGCAGUAGGGAAUUUUCCACAAUGGACGAAAGUCUGAUGGAGCAACGCCGCGUGCAGGAUGAAUGCCUUCGGGUUGUAAACUGCUUUUAUAUGUGACGAAUAUGACGGUAGCAUAUGAAUAAGGAUCGGCUAACUCCGUGCCAGCAGCCGCGGUCAUACGGAGGAUCCAAGCGUUAUCCGGAUUUACUGGGCGUAAAGAGUUGCGUAGGUGGCGAAGUAAGUUGGUAGUGAAAGCGUUCGGCUCAACCGGAUAAACAUUACCAAAACUGCUUUAGCUAGAGGAUGAGAGAGGUUAUUGGAAUUCCCUGUGUAGGAGUGAAAUCCGUAGAUAUAGGGAGGAACACCGAUGGCGUAGGCAGAUAACUGGCUCAUUCCUGACACUAAGGCACGAAAGCGUGGGGAGCAAACGGGAUUAGAUACCCCGGUAGUCCACGCCGUAAACAAUGGAUGCUAGCUGUUAUAGGUAUCGACCCCUGUAGUAGCGAAGCUAACGCGUUAAGCAUCCCGCCUGUGGAGUACGGUCGCAAGACUAAAACUUAAAGGAAUUGACGG